This 612-nucleotide ribosomal RNA is filed under the name uncultured Gemmatimonadota bacterium. RNAcentral's name for it is "SSU rRNA". It matches the Rfam family "Bacterial small subunit ribosomal RNA", at positions 242 to 854 of the family's 1533-position model. Lineage: Bacteria; Pseudomonadati; Gemmatimonadota. The record is from RNAcentral.
CAGCUAGUUGGCGAGGUAACGGCUCACCAAGGCAACGACGGGUAGCUGGUCUGAGAGGAUGGCCAGCCACAUUGGGACUGAGAUACGGCCCAGACUCCUACGGGAGGCAGCAGUGGGGAAUCUUGCGCAAUGGCCUAACGGCUGACGCAGCGACGCCGCGUGUGGGAUGAAGCUCCUCGGAGUGUAAACCACUGUUGCCCGGGACGAAUAGCUCGAUUAAUCGAGCCUGACGGUACCGGGUGAGGAAGCACCGGCUAACUCCGUGCCAGCAGCCGCGGUAAUACGGGGGGUGCGAGCGUUGUCCGGAAUCACUGGGCGUAAAGGGCGCGUAGGUGGUUUGAUAAGGGUGUGGUGAAAGUCCGGGGCUCAACCCCGGAUCUGCCGUGCCGACUGUCAAACUCGAGGGCUGUAGAGGCAGACGGAAUUCCGGGUGUAGCGGUGGAAUGCGUAGAGAUCCGGAGGAAGACCGGUGGCGAAGGCGGUCUGCUGGGCAGUUUCUGACACUGAUGCGCGACAGCGUGGGGAGCAAACAGGAUUAGAUACCCUGGUAGUCCACGCCGUAACGAUGGGUACUAGGUGCCUGGGGGAGCGACCCUCUGGGUGCCGGCGCUA